This 84-nucleotide transfer RNA is filed under the name Chloroflexota bacterium. Its description in RNAcentral is "Chloroflexi bacterium tRNA-Leu". It matches the Rfam family "tRNA". From Rfam's summary of the family: Transfer RNA (tRNA) molecules are approximately 80 nucleotides in length. Their secondary structure includes four short double-helical elements and three loops (D, anti-codon, and T loops). Lineage: Bacteria; Bacillati; Chloroflexota. The record is from RNAcentral.
GGGUCGGUGGCGGAACGGCAGACGCAACGGACUUAAAAUCCGUCGGGGCAACCCGUGUGGGUUCGACUCCCACCCGACCUACUA